RNAcentral lists this unclassified non-coding RNA (24 nucleotides) under Mus musculus (house mouse). RNAcentral's name for it is "oocyte_clustered_small_RNA2107". The record is from RNAcentral. Lineage: Eukaryota; Metazoa; Chordata; Mammalia; Rodentia; Muridae.
UCAGGUGCUCCCUACUUUCCGUGA